CCUACGGGAGGCUGCAGUGGGGAAUAUUGCACAAUGGGGGGAACCCUGAUGCAGCAAUGCCGCGUGGGUGAAGAAGCACUCCGGUGCGUAAAGCCCUGUCAGCAGGGAAGAAAAUGACGGUACCUGAAGAAGAAGCCCCGGCUAACUACGUGCCAGCAGCCGCGGUAAUACGUAGGGGGCAAGCGUUAUCCGGAUUUACGGGGUGUAAAGGGGGCGCAGACGGCGAUGCAAGCCAGGAGUGAAAGCCCGGGGCCCAACCCCGGGACUGCUCUUGGAACUGCGUGGCUAGAGUGCAGGAGGGGCAGGCGGAAUUCCUGGUGUAGCGGUGAAAUGCGUAGAUAUCAGGAGGAACACCGGUGGCGAAGGCGGCCUGCUGGACUGCAACUGACGUUGAGGCCCGAAAGCGUGGGGAGCAAACAGGAUUAGAUACCCCGGUAGUC
RNAcentral lists this ribosomal RNA (440 nucleotides) under uncultured bacterium. Its description in RNAcentral is "partial 16S ribosomal RNA". It matches the Rfam family "Bacterial small subunit ribosomal RNA", at positions 338 to 795 of the family's 1533-position model. The record is from RNAcentral.